GGUACUUUUUUAAGAAUUUUUUAUUCAACAUUGGUAGCCGUCAAAAAUAAUUUGUGAAAGUAAAAGAAUUCCUGUGAGAAACAAGAUGUGCCGAUUUCUUCCUGUCAUAGUCCUGGUUUUAAUCUCAGUGUGGUCAAGCUUCGCAUUAACACAGUAUGAGGUAGGUUAUGUCGACUUUGGAGAUUCAAAUACCUACACAGCAAUUAAUUUUCCGUAUAAACGAAAGACGGUUAAUGUUACCUUCAAGCAGCCCUUUGCCGUGGCGCCCAUUGUUAUCUCGUCUGUGGAAAUCAUGGACUUUGAAAAACUCUACAACACCAGAUGGCAGUACACUGUUGCUUCAGUCACUACAACAGGACUUCAACUUUUCAUGGACACUUGGGGUGACACCAAAAUUUACAAUAUUCGAGUUCGCUGGCAUGCGUUCAGCUUGUAGAUGUUUUGAAGACUUCCUUGUGGAAUAAAGUUGACAUGAAGUCUAGUCUACAAUACCUCUUCAAUAUGGUUGAUAAAACUUGCUGAAGUUGGCGAAUAAAC
Molecule: long non-coding RNA, 537 nt
Organism: Physella acuta
Lineage: Eukaryota; Metazoa; Mollusca; Gastropoda; Physidae
Source: RefSeq, a predicted model, not a curated record